Molecule: ribosomal RNA, 270 nt
Filed under: uncultured prokaryote
Description: partial 16S ribosomal RNA
Rfam family: Bacterial small subunit ribosomal RNA
Source: RNAcentral
UACGUAGGGGCAAGCGUUAUCCGGAUUUACUGGGUGUAAAGGGAGCGCAGACGGAACUGCAAGUCUGAUGUGAAAGCCCGGGGCUCAACCGCGGGACUGCAUUGGAAACUGUAGAUCUGGAGUGCCGGAGGGGCAAGCGGAAUUCCUGGUGUAGCGGUGAAAUGCGUAGAUAUCAGGAGGAACACCGGCGGCGAAGGCGGCUUGCUGGACGGCAACUGACGUUGAGGCUCGAAAGCGUGGGGAGCAAACAGGAUUAGAUACCCGCGUAGU